GGAACAAAGUCGGAGAGGAGGUGGAGCAGGUGAACAGCUACCUGUCACGUUGUGCCCUGACUACCAAAUAUAUGUCCAAAGCAGCACGGGUGGACAUGGUUACUUUGCAUGCAAUGGGGUGGAACCACAAAAAAAGUCUCUCUCUACAUCAGGCACUUUCCACAAGAUAUGUGAAGACUUGUCAGAGACUCCAGGAUGAGACUGCAAGGCUAGCUGAACUCAAACAGAGCUACAUUGCACAGAUGAAUUGGUGUCACAGUGGCUCUCUGAUGUGAAGGAAUGGGCAGCUGAUGAGACACCAGAUACAUCUCAUGCCACUCAAGGCACCACACACAGAGGACUUCAGCAGUCAAUUGAGGGGCUUUACCUUAGUGUGAGGGAGCGGAAGCAAACCCUCUACCGCCAGAAUGACAGCAGCAAGUUUCGCCAUUGCCUUCGAAGGAAGCUGGCAGAAGACAAAAAGCUCCUCCUUCAGGAGAUGCAGAAAUACAAUGGUCUUGUCCCUGACUCUGCCACAAACAAUGAUGUAGCUGCUGUGGAGCAUUUCCUUACUGGAGAGAGCAGUGUGUCUCAAAUAUGGCCGUGGGAGGUUCAUGGCAGUGCCAACAUUUCAAUCAAGAAACAAUUGCAUGACCAAGUGAUGUUGGCGAUGCGACUGCAAGAGGAAAAAAACAUUUUGGUAUUGGAGAUGGCACAACACUGCACAUGGCUGCAGAGCCUGGCAGUGGUUCUCAAGAACAAGAUGGCCGAGGAGGACACAGGAAAUGAGGGACUUUGCUGUCUCUUAAGAAGAAGACUGUCAGAGGUGUCAGAACGGUUGCAAGUUGUCCUCCAACAGUACAAGACUGCUUUAGGUCCUGAGGCCUCUGUCCUUCUACAUGUUGAAGCAGAAGAUCCAAGUGGCCUCAGUAGUCCAGACACGAGUGAGGAUAAAGAGGAAAACACAGUUUAGAUGGAAGCUACACAAAGGACUGUGUUGAAGGAAAUGGACUCGCCCUAUAUCUGUAUAUUAUUAGUAUGCUGAUUGAUUAACCACAUCAAAAUAUGUAUGCAUCCUAUAUUGUUGAAAAUUCAACCUUUGUAUGUAGAUUACCAAGCAAUUUAGUAACCACAUUAAUGAUCCUUGAAGAUGCACAAACCUCUUAG
Megalobrama amblycephala (Wuchang bream) is the source of this 1146-nucleotide long non-coding RNA. RefSeq lists it as uncharacterized. Lineage: Eukaryota; Metazoa; Chordata; Actinopteri; Cypriniformes; Xenocyprididae. The record is from RefSeq and is a predicted model, not a curated record. The transcript is spliced from 8 exons.